This 1299-nucleotide ribosomal RNA is filed under the name Triticum aestivum (bread wheat). RNAcentral's name for it is "partial small subunit ribosomal RNA". The record is from RNAcentral. Lineage: Eukaryota; Viridiplantae; Streptophyta; Magnoliopsida; Poales; Poaceae.
AUGGCUGCGCCGCCGGCCGACCACUCGUUCGACGUGAUCGUGGUGGGCGCGGGCAUAAUGGGCAGCUGCGCGGCGCACGCGGCGGCGGCCCGGGGCGCGAGCGUGCUCCUGCUCGAGCGCUUCGACCUGCUACACCAGCGCGGCUCGUCGCACGGCGAGUCCCGUAUCACCCGCCCCACCUACACGCGGCCGCAGUACCCGCCCAUGGUCCGCCUCGCGCACCGCCUCUGGGACGACGCCCAGCGCGACGCCGGGUACGCCGUCCUCACGCCCACCCCGCACUUCAACCUGGGGCCACGGGACGAUCCGGCCUUCCUAGCCGCCGUCACUAACGGCAGCGCCACCGAGCUCGUGCCGUCGUCGGCGGAUGCACCGGCGUGGGCGGAAGCUUUCAGGGUGCCACAGGGGUGGGCGGCGGCCAGAAGCGAGCUGGGCGGUGUGAUAAAGGCGACCAAGGCGGUGGCCAUGUUCCAGGCGCUCGCCGGCAAGAUGGGCGCCGUCGUGAGGGACAGGGCGGAGGUGGUCGACGUCGCCAGGAAGCAAGGAGAGGGAACAACGAUCGUGGUGAAGACAUCGAGCGGCGAGGAGUUCCACGGCGGCAAGUGCAUCAUCACGGUGGGCGCGUGGGCGAGCAAGCUGUUGAAGUCCGUCACCGGCACCGACCUGCCGGUGCAGCCGGUGCACACCCUCGUCUGCUACUGGAACGUCAAGCCCGGGCGCGAGCACGAGCUGACUGCGGAGGCCGGAUUCCCGACGUUCGGGAGCUACGGCGACCCCAGCUUCUACGGCACGCCGUCGAUGGAGUACCCUGGCCUGAUCAAGAUCUCCAAGAGCGGCGGGCCGCCGUGCGACCCAGACGGCAGGGACUGGGCCAUCGGCACCGGCGCGGGGGAGAUGGCGGAGCUCGUGGCGCGGUGGAUCGACGAGGUGAUGCCGGGCCACGUGGACACCACCGGCGGGCCGGUGAUCUGCCAGCCGUGCAUGUGUUGCAUGACUCCCGACCAGUGGCGGCUCCAGGAAUUUGCAACCGGACCUAAGAAUACCCCUAGCGCCGCCCCUGCUCCCGACGAGGACUUCGUGCUUGACUUCCUGGACGGGAAGGAGUUCGGGAGGGACGUGGUGGUCGGCGCAGGGUUCUCCGGUCACGGGUUCAAGAUGGGCCCCGCCGUCGGGAAGAUCCUCGCCGAGAUGGCGUUGGACGACGAGUCAGGGACGGCGGCGGAGGCCGGCGUGGAGCUCCGUCACUUCAGGAUCGGACGGUUCGAGGGAAACCCGAUGGGGAACGCCAAGAGUCACUGA